RNAcentral lists this non-coding RNA (26 nucleotides) under Mus musculus (house mouse). The record is from RNAcentral. Lineage: Eukaryota; Metazoa; Chordata; Mammalia; Rodentia; Muridae.
UGGGACUCGUAUUACAGGGAAUGGCA